Molecule: ribosomal RNA, 440 nt
Filed under: uncultured bacterium
Lineage: Bacteria
Description: partial 16S ribosomal RNA
Rfam family: Bacterial small subunit ribosomal RNA
Source: RNAcentral
CCUACGGGAGGCAGCAGUGGGGGAUAUUGCACAAUGGGGGGAACCCUGAUGCAGCGACGCCGCGUGGGUGAAGAAGCGCUUCGGCGCGUAAAGCCCUGUCAGCAGGGAAGAAAAUGACGGUACCUGAAGAAGAAGCCCCGGCUAACUACGUGCCAGCAGCCGCGGUAAUACGUAGGGGGCAAGCGUUAUCCGGAUUUACUGGGUGUAAAGGGGGCGCAGACGGCGAUGCAAGCCAGGAGUGAAAGCCCGGGGGCCAACCCCGGGACUGCUCUUGGAACUGCGUGGCUGGAGUGCAGGAGGGGCAGGCGGAAUUCCUGGUGUAGCGGUGAAAUGCGUAGAUAUCAGGAGGAACACCGGUGGCGAAGGCGGCCUGCUGGACUGCAACUGACGUUGAGGCCCGAAAGCGUGGGGAGCAAACAGGAUUAGAUACCCCUGUAGUC